UACGUAGGUGGCAAGCGUUACUCGGAAUCACUGGGCGUAAAGGGCGCGUAGGCGGCCUGAUAAGUAGGGGGUGAAAUCUUGCGGCUCAACCGCAAGGCUGCCUUCUAAACUGUCAGGCUGGAGCACGGUAGAGGCAGAUGGAAUUCCCGGUGUAGCGGUGGAAUGCGUAGAGAUCGGGAAGAACACCAGUGGCGAAGGCGGUCUGCUGGGCCGUUGCUGACGCUGAGGCGCGACAGCGUGGGGAGCAAACAGG
Molecule: ribosomal RNA, 253 nt
Filed under: uncultured bacterium
Lineage: Bacteria
Description: partial 16S ribosomal RNA
Rfam family: Bacterial small subunit ribosomal RNA
Source: RNAcentral